Zalophus californianus (California sea lion) is the source of this 959-nucleotide long non-coding RNA. RefSeq lists it as uncharacterized. The record is from RefSeq and is a predicted model, not a curated record. The transcript has 4 exons. Lineage: Eukaryota; Metazoa; Chordata; Mammalia; Carnivora; Otariidae.
CCCUAAUACUCUUGUGUUGAUUAGCAUCUCUUUUAUUUCCUUCCCUAGAAGCAGAAGGACAGCUUGGCUAGUGGCAUGGGUCCCUAGAAGACUGUUGGCGGGGAUGGACAGCAAUGGCAAAGCACACCUCAUCGGUCACUUCCAGACUUUUCUGAUGCCACAGAAGACAGAGGCUUUGCUGCUUGCAGUUGCUGGUGGGGAGCGUGGAACUGGGAGCGUCGAGGAUGGGAGAGACAGCCUCUACAUCCUCCUUUUUCCUCUCUUCCUCCCUGAGCAAACACUGAGGUUUGGAACCCCAGCUCUGCCACUCUCCAGCUGUCAACUUUGCGCAUAGAGCCUGGGGGAUGGAGAUCCUCAUGCACCGUUUCGCCUGGGCCAUGCAAACCUGAUGUGCCCUUUAGCGGGGACAGUCUCCUGUGCAAGCAGAGGGCAAGGAGGUCAGAUAAAGCCACGAUUGCUGAAGUGAGUGGAUUGAUUAUCUCACCUAUCAGUUGCCUGUCGGCUGCCAAGACUUCUGCUCUUGUUGGUUCUCUAUGCUGAUGCCAGAGCGAUCUGCACACUGCAGGUCUCACCCCGUUGGCUCCCUGCUCAAGCCUUCUGAGGUUCCUUGGGGAACUGGACUUCUCAUCAUCUACCUAACUGCUUUUCCAGUGUCCAUAAAGAUGGUUUCAUUGGAACACGGUCGCCACUCCUUUGUUUUCGUAUUGUCUAUGGCUGCUUCUAUGCUCCGGCAGCAGAGUUGAGAAGUUGUGUGCCAGAAGAGACAGCCCAUGAAGCCUUGGAUACUUUCUACCUGGCCCCUAACAGAAAACAUGUGUAGACGCCUGGCUUAGCCCUGGAAUAGGACUGCCAGGGAUCAAAUCCUGACCCCGCUUUCUACGACUCACGAAACACGAGGCAACACUCUUAACCUGUCUGUGUCUUUGUUUCCUUGCCCAUGGAUUAAAAGUAGGGCUGUU